GUGAUCGCCUCAUCAUCCUCGUUCUCCCAUAAAGGGCCAGACAGUGCCACUACUCGACGCUGGAUCACAAUUGACAUAUAUACAGGAGUCCUGUUUGCUCUCCUGUACCAUGGUCUCCCCGUUCAAGCUGGAGCCCCGCAUUCCUUCCCUACCUCGCUUCUGUGCACCGACAGGAUCCCUGACCUCCCUCCAUUCCACAGCGGCACCUGUCCAGCUGCACCGGCCACCUUUCCACCACUGCCCACCUCACCUCUCCAAUCUCUACCUGUUGCUCAGAGAUGAGAAGUCAUGACUCUGCUUGAAUAUGAAUGAAGCGGCUGGUCUAGCUUAGCAUAAUGACUAGAAACUGGUAGAAACAAAAGGUCCAACAUUGUAGAAAUAAUUCUAAUAGCACCUCUUACGCUCACCAAUUAACAAUUUAUUUGUUUGUCUUGUCUGUAUCUUCUGUUUCUGUAAUUGCAUAGCCAAGAAGUAGGUGCUGUAAAACCAGAACUUGAUGUUUUGUACAAAUCGAACAAUUAAGGAUUUAAUAUAAGUUGGAUUAAAAGCCAAUUCAUGGUUUUGGC
This is a long non-coding RNA of Amphiprion ocellaris (clown anemonefish), 566 nucleotides long. Lineage: Eukaryota; Metazoa; Chordata; Actinopteri; Pomacentridae. The record is from Ensembl.